Molecule: long non-coding RNA, 1131 nt
Filed under: Androctonus crassicauda
Lineage: Eukaryota; Metazoa; Arthropoda; Arachnida; Scorpiones; Buthidae
Source: RNAcentral
CCACUUUGUAUGGCAAAGGCAAGGUACAGCACUUAAUUCUGCAAACAUCACUGCAGCUGUGAAACAUGGUGGCAGUGUAAUGAUAUGGGAGUGCAAUGGGUGCAAGUGGGGUUGGCAGUAUUUAUUGAAGGAAUAAUGGACAAAACAAUGUAUUUAAAUGUAAUAGCAUAAAAAACAAGCAUUUGUCAGUGGUGAAAGCAUUGGUGUUCUUUGGUCUUCAUGAACUGGUGAUGUUUUUGGCGAUUUUGCUCACCGUUAUCAGGUACAACUUUAAACAGAAAAUAAUAAGAAAAUAGAAUAAAUAAAAGAACAUUAAAUUCUAGAAAGCCUUAACAUUGGAAGAAUAUGGUAUAGUGCUUAAGAAAGAACAAGUCAAUGACAAGCACAUACACUACUUGGACAUCAAUGUAAGAAUGGAAGGAGUUGGGAUACAGACUUCUGUCUAUAGAAAGAAAACCUACCAUCUGAUCCUAAUUCUGUGGUGGUCUGUGGACACAAUAGCCUACAAAGCAGCAGCAUUCAACUUUUAUUUCAGGAGAGCAUAUAACUACAUAGCUGAGGACCGUGAGCUAAAGAGCUCGAUUAUAUAUAUAAAAUGGGUUAUGAGCACGGAUAUAGUAAAAGUUUCCUACGUAAUAUACACUGUAAGAUUAGGAAACCCCUAGAGAGAGAGGAAGGAACGCCAAUCAACCUGAAAAGGAAAAGGAGAGAUACUUAACUGUACCAUACCAGACCAGUAAACUAAAUGUUGUAAGGGAGAUCAUACGCAAAACCAAAAGAGAAAUAGCUGCUGCUAGGCCACCAACACUCUUCAACGCUCUCCGAAAUGAAAAAGACCCGCGGAUCCAAUAUCAGAAGCCUGGAUCCGCAGGUCUUUAUAACAUACCAAUUAAUUACCCUACCGAAAAUAGAAAAGCCAGCUACAUUGGCGUUACAAUGAGAACGCUUGCAUAGAGAAUAGUAGAACAUAAAACAGAUAUUAGAACGGGUAGAAUGAACACGGUGCUGGCAGAAGAAGCAUAUACUAAGAAUGUACAGAUAGAAUGGAACCAAGCUAGGAUAGUAAAACCAAUUGCUUUGGCAGCACAAGCAACUUUACAAGAAACUAUGGAAAUAACUGUAGGUAAGCAU